Molecule: ribosomal RNA, 774 nt
Filed under: uncultured Neocallimastigales
Lineage: Eukaryota; Fungi; Neocallimastigomycota; Neocallimastigomycetes; Neocallimastigales
Description: partial large subunit ribosomal RNA
Rfam family: Eukaryotic large subunit ribosomal RNA
Source: RNAcentral
AGAGAGAGACAUGCGCGCAUAUCAAUAAGCGGAGGAAAAGAAACUAACUAGGAUUCCCUCAGUAACGGCGAGUGAAGCGGGAAGAGCUCAAAUUUGAAAUCCUCAAGGUUCUACCUUGACGAAUUGUAGUUUAAAGAAGUGUUUUCUGUUGAAGUUUUGGUAAAAGUUCUUUGGAAUAGGACAUCAUAGAGGGUGAGAAUCCCGUAUUUGACCUUUACUUUCAACUUUGUGAUACACUUUCAAAGAGUCGGAUUGUUUGGGAAUGCAGUCCAAAAUGGGUGGUAAAUUUCAUCUAAAGCUAAAUAUUGGCGAGAGACCGAUAGCGAACAAGUACCGUGAGGGAAAGAUGAAAAGAACUUUGAAAAGAGAGUUAAACAAGUACGUGAAAUUGUCAAAAGGGAAGCGUUUGACACCAGUGUUGUUUUCUCGAAAAUCAAUUAAAAAAGGCAGGAUUUUGUGUUGUAUUGACUUUAUCAGCUUUCUGCACUCCUUUCUUGUCUUUUUUAAUGCACUUUUCGUUUAACAAGUCAACAUCAAUUUCUUUUGUUGUAAAAGGGUCAUUGGAAGGUGGCUUUCUUUUCGGAGAAAGUGUUUAUAGCCUUUGGCCUCUGCAAUCGGAGAGAUUGAGGUCUGCAGCGUAGAUCCUUCGGGGUUAGAUACAUUUGUGCUAAGUUAUAGCCUUUCAUAGACAACUUGUUGACUAUGAUCAGUCAUGUAGCUUACUCGCUUAUGCUAUUUUACCUACGCUUAGGAUGUUGAUGUGAUACUGCGAGC